This 520-nucleotide ribosomal RNA is filed under the name uncultured bacterium. RNAcentral describes it as "partial 16S ribosomal RNA". It matches the Rfam family "Bacterial small subunit ribosomal RNA", at positions 899 to 1397 of the family's 1533-position model. The record is from RNAcentral.
ACUCAAAUGAAUAGACGGGGGCCCGCACAAGCGGUGGAACAUGUGGUUUAAUUCGAUGCUACGCGAAAAACCUCACCUAGGCUUGACAUAUAUGUAGUAGCGAACCGAAAGGGGAGCGAACCGUCAAGUCGGUUGCAUAAACAGGUGCUGCAUGGCUGUCGUCAGCUCGUGUCGUGAGAUGUUGGGUUAAGUCCCGCAACGAGCGCAACCAUUGCCCUAUGUUGCCACUUCGUUAGCUAGCUUGCUAGUUAACGGAAGCACUCUUAGGGGACUGCCUGGGACAACCAGGAGGAAGGUGGAGAUGACGUCAAGUCAGUACGGCCUUUAUGCCUAGGGCGACACACGUGUUACAAUGGGCGGUACAAAGGGUUGCCAACCCGCGAGGGGGAGCUAAUCUCAAAAAACCGUCCUCAGUUCGGAUUGGAGUCUGCAAUUCGACUCCAUGAAGCCGGAAUCGCUAGUAAUGGUGGAUCAGCACGCCACCGUGAAUACGUUCCCGGGCCUUGUACACACCGCCCGU